GUAGGAAUCUACCCUUUGGCGGGGAAUAACUUAUCGAAAGGUAGGCUAAUACCGCAUAAGAUCGAAAGAUGAACGGACGUAACUGUCCACCGAAGGAGGAGCCUGCGGCCUAUCAGUUUGUUGGUGAGGUAAUAGCUCACCAAGACUACGACGGGUAGGGGGCGUGAGAGCGCGAUCCCCCAGAAUGGUACUGAGACACGGAC
RNAcentral lists this ribosomal RNA (203 nucleotides) under uncultured bacterium. RNAcentral's name for it is "partial 16S ribosomal RNA". It matches the Rfam family "Bacterial small subunit ribosomal RNA", at positions 117 to 331 of the family's 1533-position model. The record is from RNAcentral.